GUGCUCUCUUCGGCAGCACAUGUACUAAAAUGGGAACGAUACAGAGAUUAACAUGGCCCCUGUGCAAGGAUGACAUGCAAAUUUGUGAAGCGUUCCAUAUUUUU
This is a small nuclear RNA of Myotis daubentonii (Daubenton's bat), 104 nucleotides long. Lineage: Eukaryota; Metazoa; Chordata; Mammalia; Chiroptera; Vespertilionidae. The record is from RefSeq and is a predicted model, not a curated record.